UGGGCUAUAGCCAAGCGGUAAGGCAACGGACUUUGACUCCGUCAUUCGUUGGUUCGAAUCCAGCUAGCCCAGCCA
Molecule: transfer RNA, 75 nt
Filed under: Staphylococcus aureus
Lineage: Bacteria; Bacillati; Bacillota; Bacilli; Caryophanales; Staphylococcaceae
Also listed under: 75 other names
Description: tRNA-Gln
Rfam family: tRNA
About the family: Transfer RNA (tRNA) molecules are approximately 80 nucleotides in length. Their secondary structure includes four short double-helical elements and three loops (D, anti-codon, and T loops). Further hydrogen bonds mediate the characteristic L-shaped molecular structure. tRNAs have two regions of fundamental functional importance: the anti-codon, which is responsible for specific mRNA codon recognition, and the 3' end, to which the tRNAs corresponding amino acid is attached (by aminoacyl-tRNA synthetases). tRNAs cope with the degeneracy of the genetic code in two manners: having more than one tRNA (with a specific anti-codon) for a particular amino acid; and 'wobble' base-pairing, i.e. permitting non-standard base-pairing at the 3rd anti-codon position.
Source: RNAcentral